ACAAUAAGCACUUGCAACUAAUUACGGUAAUUAAUAUUUUCCAGUCGCGCAAAGUGAACCCGAUUUGCUGUGGCAGUCGAUGGAGAGUUAAAAAUUAAUUCUAGGAUCUGUUCCAAACAUUUUGACAAGAAGUACAUUUUGAAGACAAAUCUGAGAGUUCUGCUGCAGAAAAAUGCGAUCCGAACAAUCGUAGAAAGCAAAAGAAGUGCCGCAUAGCCUGAAGAAGGAUCUCCAAGAGAAUGGGCCGACUCCGAGAACAGAUAUAAGGCGAAAAAGGUAUAUGGUAUCCUAAUAUUGGUACUUCAUUAACACCUUGUUUUUACUGUAAAAAUGCCCAAGUGUCCCAAGUGUUCAAAAGAUGGAAGUUAUCCCGAAAUCCAAAGAAGGUCCUUGUCAAGAAGAGGUGAAACGAGCUUCUAGAGGUAUGACGAGACAGUGGGUCCCGGAGAGUACCAUAUAAGAUACGGCAGAGGCGAAGCAGGUCGGAAUUUACGAAGCCCAAGACUGGAAAAGUGAUAUCCACCGUAAAAAAAUGACCGAUUGAAGUUAAUUAGAAAUGUCUAAAUGGAGAUUUGUAAUUUUGAGAAAUUG
Molecule: long non-coding RNA, 591 nt
Organism: Belonocnema kinseyi
Lineage: Eukaryota; Metazoa; Arthropoda; Insecta; Hymenoptera; Cynipidae
Exons: 3
Source: RefSeq, a predicted model, not a curated record